GAUGAAGAACGUAGCGAAAUGCGAUACGUAAUGUGAAUUGCAGAAUUCAGUGAAUCAUCGAGUCUUUGAACGCACAUUGCGCCCCCUGGUAUUCCGGGGGGCAUGCCUGUUCGAGCGUCAUUUCACCACUCAAGCCUCGCUUGGUAUUGGGCAACGCGGUCCGCCGCGUGCCUCAAAUCGACCGGCUGGGUCUUCUGUCCCCUAAGCGUUGUGGAAACUAUUCGCUAAAGGGUGUUCGGGAGGCUACGCCGUAAAACAACCCCAUUUCUAAGGUUGACCUCGGAUCAGGUAGGGAUACCCGCUGAACUGAAGCAUAUCAAUAAGCGGAGGA
Molecule: unclassified non-coding RNA, 331 nt
Filed under: soil metagenome
Description: partial contains 5.8S ribosomal RNA, internal transcribed spacer 2, and large subunit ribosomal RNA
Rfam family: 5.8S ribosomal RNA (bases 1-120)
Source: RNAcentral